Callithrix jacchus (white-tufted-ear marmoset) is the source of this 9762-nucleotide long non-coding RNA. RefSeq lists it as uncharacterized. The record is from RefSeq and is a predicted model, not a curated record. NCBI's taxonomy places the organism in Eukaryota, Metazoa, Chordata, Mammalia, Primates, Cebidae.
GGCCGCCAUUUCGGGCUGAUGGAGGAUUCUUCCGGAGGAUGCAGGGUGGGGCCACGUUGCUCAGCCGGCCAGAGGUCUGCAUGUUUUUUGGGCCUGUGGGGGAUGUCCUCUGUGGAACUGCCCAGAGAAAGAGUCAGGACUCAGAUAAAGCCUUGUUUCUAGAGACUCAUCUUUUGAGGACUUAGGACUGUUGGGCCUUUUGAAUGGGGGAAGGUGUGAUCGAUCAACUUGGCAACUCCUGCCCCUGGCUGGCCAGUGGGCAGGGGGCAAGAAGGGGCUGUGGUGCUGGCACCAGGCUCUUGGCCUGGAAGCACCUGGAUGGAGAAACCAAGCCACCUUGCUGCCCCAUCAUCCUGAGGCAAACAAGUUAGCUCAUGCUACAAAACAAGGUGCCUUCAGCCUCCUACCGCCAGCUGCCACCAUGGCUGGUGCUGGUGGCUCUUUUAGAGCAAUUUUUGGAGCUCUCUCACCCACUACUUUCACUUCCCCUGGUCUAAGUGGCCAGCAGGCGGCGUCAUCUGAACUCCGUGAUAACAGUCUCCUCCAGGCUGGCAGGGCCGGGCCGUGGCCCAGGGGGCACUCCUGGCUGUAGAGGCCUGCCGGCCCGGCCCCCCACUCUCCCUCCCCCGGCUCGGGCACGUUACCUGCUGUGCCAAUGAGUUUCUUGGAUUUGUUGAAGAUCUGAUCACCUGGGUUAGGAGGUGGCGCUACGUCCUGGCCCUGCCGCGCCAGCAGAGGGUUGUAAUCCUUUCCAUCAUAGUUUGCGUCAAAGAAUUUCUUAAACCACUGAAUAAACUCAAAAUUAUCUUGGAAUUUUCCUUUCACUAAUUUCUCUACAGGAAUGAUCUGAAAUAGACCACAUAAGCAGAGUACUUUAGCCACCUGCUGCUGUAGGGCUGCCUUCCUCUGCCGAGGGCCACUGCUGUCAGAAAAGCCAGCCCCUGGGCUGCAGCGUCCUCCAUCUUCUCCACCUUCCCCCCUCCCACGGCACCAGAGCAGACAGGUAGGCUUGGCAGGCCCCAGUCUCGGAUCCAGAGACAUCCCUCCUCUACAGGCACUGUGUGGAAGAACUGUGAUGGGAGGUGUCCCUUGGCUCUACUGCCUGCAUGUGGGCUGGGGGUCUGCAGCCACUGAAGCAGGAGAGUGAGCAAAGACACUUUCUUGGGCCCUACAGAGAGACAAAGAAGUGGAACUUCACAGGAGCUGCACACAGAGCUCAGUGUUGGGAAUGGGCAGGGUCCAGAGAGGAGGAAGGGAAAGGAAUGCUGUCAUGAUGGAAUGGCAAGUGUUGUGGGCUUUUCCAUUGUGCCUUGAGCAGGGGGAAAAUUCCCUCUGGAGAGUUGGGAGGUUCAAGCACUGGAAUGACCCCAGCACUCCCUGUUGCCCAGGCUGGUGGGCCAUCUUCUUCCCCAGGGUCACAUGGCUCCUCAGGGCCCCCCAGAGUGCAGGCACCUACUUUGUCGACACCCAUCUUCUUGAAAGCUGCUUGCAGCACCUUGAAGUUGUGGAUGUAUUCAUGCUCUAGCUUGGCCUGGAACUUCACUUUCCUCAAGUGCACGCAGCCGGGGAAGAGCAUGUCCAUGAACUGGCAGUAGGCUGCCCCUGUGGAGAAGGGCGCUGGCUGAGGGGCUCACUGAUCUCCUGGGGCUGCUCUCUCUCACUUCCCCAAACCCUGUCUCCUCUUCUCUUUCCUUGUUCUGGGGCUGGGGCCAUUCCUGCUUUCAGGAUAGACAUGGCCAGAAUCCCCCCAGCUUUCCAAGAAUAGCAGCAGUGACUAUUUAUUGAUGCAUAUUACGAACCAGCACUAUACCAAACACUGCAUGUAGAUAGGGCAAUCCCAACGGCAACUCUAGUUAGUUGGUGAUAUUAUCUCCAUCUUAUGGAUGGGAAAACUGAGGCCUAGGGCAGUAUAUAGUGACUUGCCCAGGGUUGCACCACCAGAAGAAGAGCUGAGAGUUGGACCCAGAGAGGCGAGGUCAGACCUCUGGCUCUCUUGCCGUCCUGGCGCUCAGCUCCCCGCUCCUCCUCUCCCUGCAGUCCUUCUCGCUGCCUCUCCUGCUCUUCUCUUUCCUUGCUCUCAUUUCCUGACUUCAGCUCCAGCCAGUCUGGCUAGUUCAGGGCCUCCAGCUCUCUGCCUUAGUCUAAUCACAAGCUACAGUCAUGGGCUGCCUAACAACGGUGUGGUCAAUGAUGGAUCACAUAUAUGAUGGUGGUCCCAUAGGAUUAUAAUGCCAUAUUUUUAUUGUACCUUUUCUGUGUUUAGAUAUGUUUAGAUGUGCAAAUACUUAGCAUGUGUUAAAACUGUUUGCGGUAUUUAGUACAGAAACAUGCUGUCCCGGUUUUUACCUAGGAGCAGUAGGUAUACCACACAGCUGAGAUGUGUACAGGCUACACCAUCCAGGUUUGUGUAAAUACACUCUGUGAUGUUCACACAUCGCCUGAGGAUGCAUUCCUCUGGGCACAUCCCCAUCAUUCAGCCACGCAUGACUGUAUAUUCCCUGCUGUGGCUGCUCUGCCUUCUGGCCUUUCUUUCCUUCCAGCAGGGCCACUUCCUGUAUUCCCAGCCUCCUACCUGAACAGAGCUGUUCUAUCUUGGUGUAGUUGAGGUGCAAGGAGUCGUUGACCCACGCAAGCAUAUCAUGGCGACUCAGAUUUUCACUGGUCACAGAUGUGGAGUACACAUUGACGGCCAUACCCCAGCUGAAAAGGAGAAAGGUGAGGUAAGCACUGGGGCCUCAUGCAGCUCCUUAGCUAUCAGGAGAGAAGGGGUGUAUGAUACUGGGAAGUAAGAAAUAUUCCCUCCAGAUUGGCCUUGCAUUUUACCCCCAGAGGAGGGGUCUUUAGACAUUUAAUGAGCAUCUACUAUAAUGCUAGACAUGUGCCAGGAGCCAGCAAUUCAAAGUUAAUUAAGAUAUGGCCUCUGCUGGCUGGCGGCGGUAGCUCAUGCCUGUAAUCCCAGCACUUUGGGAGGCUGAAGUGGGCAGAUCAUGAGGUCAGGAGAUCAAGACUAUCCUGGCCAUCAUGGUGAAACCUCGUCUCUACUAAAAAUAUAAAAAUUAGCUGGGUGUAGUGGUGCUCACCUGUAGUCCCAGAUACUUGGGAGGCUGAGGCAGGAGAAUUGCUGGAACCGAGGAGGUAGAGGUUGCAGUGAGCCAAGAUUGUGCCACUGCACUCCAGCCUGCAGCCUGGUGACAGAGCAAGACUGUCUCAAAAAAAAAAAAAAAAAAAAGAUAUGGCCUCUGCCUUGAGGCAUUUACAGACAGGCAGAUCCCCUCAGUAGGGAGUGAUGGGGCAGUGAAACAGGCACAUAAACGUUCAGGAACAGCACAAAGAAGGGCGUGAGUGCAUCUGCUGGGCAGGGUCAGCGAAGGGUUUAGAGCAGAGAUGUUGGAGCCUGAAAGGAAUAGGAAUUUUCCAGACAUAAAAAGGGAUGGGUGGAAGGCAUUCGGGCACAGGGACUAGCAAGAACAAAGGCAGAGCUUAUUCCAGGCACUCUGAGUUGUGGAGCAGGCCCAGGGAGCAGAUUUUUCUGUUGGGGCGUGGCACAAUGAGGUUGGCAGGGACAGGUUGCCAAGGCCUUAGGAGGAGGAAUCUGGACUUUCUAUUUGGAAGCCAUUAGAGGACUUUAAGCAGACAGUAACCUGACCAGAUUUGUGUUUUAGAAAGCCAGCUAACCUUUGCCUCUGCUCUGAAUUCAGACUCCAUAUUCCUGUGGCUGAUGCAGAGGUACCUAAAUUCUCCUUGUCCACACCUUCCCUUAGAACAUGUUUCUGGCUCCUAUGUUCAUUAUCUCAGUGAAUGUCACCACCAGCUAUCAGUUACCACCUUAGAAGCCUGUGGGGUCAUCCUAGACAGCCUCCUCUCCCUCAUGCUCCUACCAAGUCACUCCUCAAGUCCUGGAACCUCACCUCCUCAACCCACCCUGUUCUGCUUACCCUCAGGAUUUAGGCAUACCACUGUCCCUUGGUAUUCAUGAGGGAAUUUGUUCCAGAACAUCCCCCUAUACCCAAAUCAAUGCAUAGUCAAGUCCCUUAUGUAAAAUGAUGUAGUAUUUACAGAUAUCCUCCUGUAUGAUUUAAAUCACCUCUAGACUACUCAUAAGCCUGAUACCUACUACCACGUCACUGUGAUGUAAAUAGUUGUUACACUGUAUUGUUUAGGGAAUCAUGACAUGAAAAAAGAGUCUGUAGGUGUUCAGUACAGAUGCAACAAUCCAUUUUUCUUUCCUGAAUAUUUUUUAUCGAUAUUUGAUUGAAUCCACAGAUCUGGAACCCAUGGAUAUGGAGGGCUGGCUGUAUUUUCUCUCUAGCACAGGCUAGCAGGAGCCUCCUAAAACGCCUUCCAGCCUCCAGUCUCUCCUUCCUCCUAAUCUGUCCUUGACACUGUGUUGUCAGAAUCUACCUAAAAGCAGGUCUGACCACCCCCCUCCCAGCUUCAAGUCCUUUCAGCCAGCAGUCAUGAAAGACACACCCAUCGGCUGAAUUUGCCUUGCAGACUUAAACUGUUAAGCACUUGUAGUGUUAGAAACAUUUUUGAAUUAGUGCCCAAUAUAUUAAAGUUGAGAUGUUUAAUAACGGGAUUUCUGGCUUCUUUUGGCCACUCAGCCUGUGCUCCCACACUGAAACCAGCAGUUGGAGUGGAGCCAGCAGUGAGCCUCCUUCCCACCCCACAGAGGCCAGGGGUCAGCUGCUGCUGAUCACUGACUUGCGUUGUUAAGAAAAGGAGGACAUAUUUCUUGUAACCAGGACUUUAUCAGAAAUGGAGAAACAAGAUAGAUCAAAAGAACUGUGUUUUCCGAAUUGUGAGAACAUGUGUUUCUGGAGUGAGUGAAGAAUAUUUCUCCAGGUUUAAUAUGUAAAGUGUCUCUGUGAAAUAAGAAUACAUCUUAUGUACCUUAUAUUCUUACAGGAAGAAUAUUUCCCUGUUUGUUGCAGGCAUCUGCUGUUAACACGUGACUCCUCCUGACCACUUAUCAAAUCAUAAUGGGACCCCACUCUGCAGCCUUAUCUCCCACUUUGCUUCCCCAGUUAGGAGCCAUGGGCAGCUUCCUACUCACCCUCUGUCUGGAAUGCUGUCCCUCCCACAAAGUUUAUUCAUCCUCUGCUCCAUGGUUCUCAAUUGUGGCCCCUGGACCUGCAGCACUGGGGCUAUAUGGGGAUCAGCUGGUUAGAAAUUGCAAUUCUCUCGCCUUCCCUGAGACCUACUGAAUGCGAAACUGCCUCUGACCAAGAUGCCCGGAGGAUCUGCAGGCACCGCCCCAUUUGAGCAGCACUACUUUACAGAGGGAGACUCAGCAAGGCAUCUGCAGAGCUGUGUACCCUCAUGUUCCUACCCCUGACCCCAAGCACAUAGGAUGGAGCAUAUUUAACUUAAAUGAAUGCUUCGAAGAAAAGUCAUGAGAGAAAACCCUCUUCUUUAUUCCUAGUUCUUCUUCCUUUGAAAAAUAAACCUUGUUCUUCCUUGCCCAGGCAAAGGGAGGCCAGGUGGGGUCAAAAAGCCAAGAGAAACAGAAAUGAGUUAUUGUCUUGGGAGCUUCUAAAGACUCAGGACCUGGCAGAUUCAGAGAUUUCUGAGAGUAAUGUUGACUGCACUUGAGUCUCCUCCUACACAGCGGCUCUGUGCCCACUGCCCUGCAUCUUGGCCCUUGCGCUCACCACUGGACUUGUUCAAAUGCCUUCAUCCCACAUUGGAAGUGCUUUGAAGCCAAGAGUGGGGUAUCCAGGUCUGUCAUAGGCAAGACGUUCAGUAACGUUGUUGAACUAUUGAGUGAUACCUCAUGUCCUCUCCUCUUUCUGAAUCGUGUUUCAUCACCUUCCAGCCUGGGUUCCACCCCCCCACCCCCACCCCAACACCCCACUGGCACUCAGUCUCAGGACUCUGCUUUAGCUCCAGGAGACUUUCUCUGACCCCCGCUCUGCAGGAGGCAUGUGCCCACUAUCCUACAGCACGCUGGGCACAGCUCUUCAUGGCAUCCUGCACAGUCUCUUAAAAUCAUGUGUGAGGCUAGGUGUGGUUUCUCAUGCCUGUAAUCCCAGCGUUUUGGGAAGCCGAGGUGGGCCAAUUACUUGAGACCAGGAGUUCAGGACCAACCAGGCCAACAUGGUGAAAUCCCAUCUCUACUAAAAAUACAAAAAUUAGCCAGGCAUGUAAUCCUGGCUACUAGGGAGGCUGAGGGAGGAGAAUUGCUUGAACCUGGGAGGUAGAGGUUGCAGUGGGCCAAGAUUGUGCCACUGCAUUCCAACCUGGGUGACAGAGCCAGACUCUGUCUCCAAAAAAAAUAAAUCAUGUGUGUGGCUGCCCCUUCCACCUGACUGUAAGCUCUUCAAUGGGCAAGCUGUGUUCCAUUCACGUUCAGCUUCCACACCAGUUCUCGGUGAAUAAUAACUGCCUAACCAUAUUGGUGGAGUGGAAUUGCAGCCUUCAUUUGAUAUGCAUACUUAGCUGGGAUUUACCGGCUUCUGUUGCAAUAGCAAAGGCUGCAACGUUGGGACAUUCUGCCACUUCUCUUGGGGGGAAAAUGCUAGCCAGUCCUUGGUAUGCAGGGAAAAUAUCCAGUUUCCCUGGAGUUUAAAACACAACUAAAGGCCUUGCUUUUAGGGCUCCCAAGAGUCACUAAGACCACAUAGCUACUUGAAAAAUGCCCAGGUCUUCUCAGCAUGGCCAGAAAUUCCCAGGGUGGUCAAUGCCUGAUGAUGGAAGGGCAUGUUCUAUACCUUUGGUCUAAUUCUGGGGUCCCACGAGUGGCAGCAGCGCCUGUGAGAAGGAAGUUGGAAAAAAUGGCUCCUUGCAGGGCCCAGCAAUGAAUCAUGCUGUUACCCACUAUGGGGCUUCUGGGGAAGGGGGUAGCUAGUAGCAGGAACAGAAGCCUCAGUCCUCACUCAGGACUCAACUCAGGUCCUCUCAACUGGUGCUACUCUCUGCCCUGGGGGGGGAGGGUCCAUUCGACUCAGGAGGACUCAUCCAGGGCACCAAGGGGUCUCUACAGGAUUCCUCUGCUUCAUUUGCUAGAGCAGCAUGAGGAAACAGCCUCCUGGUUUCCUUAUGCCUCAUUACACUGGGGAGGGCAGGAUGCCCUUUUAAUUUUCCUCUCCUGGCUUUAACUCUGUAAAUGGAACUAAACAUGGCCAGCAGGUGGCACCCAGGUCCUGAGCAAAAACUCCUUUAAAUGUAUCCCCCCAUCCCCCAGCGCUCCUUUCCAGAGCUCAAUUUAGAGCUCAAAUUGGGAGCCUCUAAGAGCUGGGCUAUCUGUGGGGCAAGGAGCAUUGGGGCUGUUCGAGCAUUGGGGCUGUUCUAAGAUCCUGGACUAAACUGAGCCAGCCUCCCUAUCUCCCAAAACCACAGUUUGAACUCACCAAACAGGUCCAACUUCUGACUGCCUUUUGCGUUGGGGGUUGACUUCGGCCUGGACUCACACCAGACCAGCUGCUGGAAGCAGAGGUAUAUAAAGUAUUUGCCCACGCAUCGGGCUCUAAGUGGACCAGCUGCCUCCAAUUAUAGCAAAUCGUAGCCUGAGGAAACUCUUAUAACACACUCGUUCCCAAGAGCUCCUUCACCUCCUGGGAGAGAAUGGUAGGUAACCACUAGGAGGGGGCAGGCAGCCUCUGUCUGUCCCAAGAGAUGCAGGAGCAGUGCCUUCCAACCUCAUCCACAUUUUUCUGCCAUGAUCUUUGGCACAUGUGACUGUCAGGAGAAACAGACCCUGCCUGGAUUGUGGCAUGUCAUCAUCCAGGCAGAUCCCCAUUCGAGGAUCAGACUGACAACGUGGCCUUGGGAAAAGCCUGUUCUGUAGGGCCUUGACUCCUGCUAUCAGGAAUGGAGUCAAGGAAAAGAAUAGUUGAGGAGGUUUAAUCUGGUGAUUUUGCUGAGUCACUUCUUAUACUAGGACUAUAAGGUUCAAGGUGCAUUAACAGGCAACAGGGAAAGGCAAUUACAGCUCUCACUGCUGGAGGGGAAGCUGCUGGUCAUUCUGCAGACUAAGGCUUUAAAAAUGAUCAUCAAGACCAAAUCCCAGUAACCUGUGGUCAGAGGGGUUUCUAGAGACCAUCUGCUUCCUUCUCAGGUAAUUAGGACUGGACUUAGAUCUAGGCACUUAUAUUCUUAAUUCAUAAAGACGGCUAAUAAGUCUGUACAACUGAAAUUUCACAUUCUAUUACUUAAUGACCUUAUCACCAGCCUAAACUAAUUUUGGCUUUUUGAUUUUACAUCUAUCUUCCACAAAUAUGUCUUGAAGGUCAUUUAGGGGCACUCAGUCUUCUCUAAUUAUCUAGAGCUCCUUUUACCCCAAGUUUAGCCCUGUUCUGGCUGGUCCCUGGAAGAACUUCCUGCAGUUGCCAGACCUUCACCCUCUGCCCAAUGUGGGUAAGAAAGACACAUCAGGUCUACCAGUCCUACAGGAGGUGGCCAGCAUACCUCCAGCAAGCUCCAAAAUGGUAGUGCUUAAGAACACUGGAUCUCCAGGCACAUCACGUGGGUUCAAAUCCUAGAUGUGUACCGUGUCCAAGAUGUCUGACUUGACUUUAGGUCUCAGUUUCCUCAUCUAUAAAAUGGGAACAGUGACAGUUCCCACCUCAUAGAACAGUUAUGAGGAUUAAGUGAGCCAUGGGUACACCAAGGUAAGCACAGAGCCUGACAUUCAAUACGUAUUUGGCAAGUACUGUCAGCAUCGCGGGGACAGACAGUGAAAAUCUAAGGGCAUUUGUUAGAGAAGUACGUGCCUGACACACAGCCAGCCUCUGGUCUCUGCGACCAUGGAAUGGCCAACCCAGAAGGGAGACAGACUACAGAACUUUUCUCUGCCACUUUGCCUACAGACAGCCACCUGGGUUUCCCAAAGCAGGGCUCUGACCACAAUCCCUCCUAAGCUCCAGAUUUCCCAUACAUCCUGCUUUGUAGAUGCCAUCCUACCGGCCAAGACAACUGGAACAGAUGCUGUGGGAUCAGAGGAGAGAGAACUCUGCAGAGCCAGCCAACACGUUUCCUGUUCCUGAAGUGGGGCUAUGCCCAUUGUCACUGGGCUACCUCUUCCUGCCCAGGCCCAAGGGGCUGAAGUCACCUGUUUGGAAAAUCUACAAAAUUGUUACCCCUACCCCCGUGAGUCACACACCCAGGUUAUUCUGGGCUUGCAUGGAGGCAGUAUGUGCAGGUGGGGCUGAGGGGUUCUGAGGGGCUGGGGAGCCAGUCAGCGGGUCACAAAGCUCUGGCAGACCCAGCCAAUCACCUUCUUUUUAUGGCUGAGCAAAGACCUGACUCAUCCAGAGGCUCAGCCUCUCAAAACUGGAUUAGUCAAUGCAGAGACGGGGCAAGUGGAGUAGUUGCAAGGUUGGCCAGGAGCCCAGCAUGCACCCCCUCUCAAUAGAUCCAGGUCAGGGAUCCAGACGGCUGUGGGUUCAGGCGAAGGAAGUCUCACUAUGUUUCCCAGACUGGUUUUGAACUCCUGGGCUCAAGCAAUCAUUCUCCUUAGCCUUCCAAGUAGCUGGGAUUACAGGGUUUGUUGCAGAACACUGCGGGACGUGAGAGCGAGAGGUCAAAGAUGACCCCAAAGUUUCUUGUCCAAGCCACCUGAAGGAUGGAGGAAACUGCAGGAAGAGCACGUUUGAGAGUAAGGUGAAGACCACGAGCUCACUUAAGAUGAUGCUGGGGACACUUCAAAGAACAAUUAAGGAUAUUAAGAAGCAUCAUGUUCCAUGGGCAUAAUAUUCCAUGCUAUUAUUACAUUACCUCUAGCUGUUGUACAUUUUGAUUUUUGAUAUUCCUCAAAUAUAU